RNAcentral lists this ribosomal RNA (585 nucleotides) under Crucellisporium umtamvunae. RNAcentral's name for it is "eukaryotic LSU rRNA". It matches the Rfam family "Eukaryotic large subunit ribosomal RNA", at positions 1 to 584 of the family's 3401-position model. Lineage: Eukaryota; Fungi; Ascomycota; Leotiomycetes; Helotiales. The record is from RNAcentral.
AAGGUUGACCUCGGAUCAGGUAGGGAUACCCGCUGAACUUAAGCAUAUCAAUAAGCGGAGGAAAAGAAACCAACAGGGAUUACCUCAGUAACGGCGAGUGAAGCGGUAACAGCUCAAAUUUGAAAUCUGGCUCUUUCAGGGUCCGAGUUGUAAUUUGUAGAAGAUGCUUUGGGUGUGGCUCCGGUCUAAGUUCCUUGGAACAGGACGUCAUAGAGGGUGAGAAUCCCGUAUGUGACCGGCGGCCUUCGCCCGUGUAAAGCUCUUUCGACGAGUCGAGUUGUUUGGGAAUGCAGCUCAAAAUGGGUGGUAGAUUUCAUCUAAAGCUAAAUAUUGGCCAGAGACCGAUAGCGCACAAGUAGAGUGAUCGAAAGAUGAAAAGCACUUUGGAAAGAGAGUUAAACAGUACGUGAAAUUGUUGAAAGGGAAGCGCUUGCAACCAGACUCGCAUGCGGCUGAUCAUCCGGGGUUCUCCCCGGUGCACUCGGUCGUCUACGGGCCAGCAUCGGUUUGGGUGGUGGGAUAAAGACCGUCGGAAUGUAGCUUCUCUCGGGGAGUGUUAUAGCCUUCGGUGCAAUGCCGCCUACC